RNAcentral lists this ribosomal RNA (251 nucleotides) under uncultured prokaryote. Its description in RNAcentral is "partial 16S rRNA". It matches the Rfam family "Bacterial small subunit ribosomal RNA", at positions 525 to 775 of the family's 1533-position model. The record is from RNAcentral.
ACGGGGGGUGCAAGCGUUGUUCGGAAUCACUGGGCGUAAAGGGCGCGCAGGCGGCUGGACAAGUCAGAUGUGAAAUCCCAGGGCUUAACCCAGGAAGUGCAUUUGAAACUGCUCGACUUGAGUAAGAGAGGGGAAAGUGGAAUUCCUGGUGUAGAGGUGAAAUUCGUAGAUAUCGGGAGGAAUACCGGUGGCGAAGGCGACUUUCUGGCUGAGUACUGACGCUGAGGCGCGAAAGCGUGGGGAGCAAACAG